This is a long non-coding RNA of Cercocebus atys (sooty mangabey), 2241 nucleotides long. RefSeq lists it as uncharacterized. The transcript is spliced from 3 exons. The record is from RefSeq and is a predicted model, not a curated record. NCBI's taxonomy places the organism in Eukaryota, Metazoa, Chordata, Mammalia, Primates, Cercopithecidae.
GCCUGAGGUCAGGAGUUCGAGACCAGCCUGACCAAAAUGCUUGUUGGAAUUUAAAGGCAACCAAUCAAAAUGCAUUUAGGCUUCAAAGGAAAAAGUUCUCCAUAAAUACACCAGAAUUUCAUUCUAACACGACUCAUUCAUCCAAAGAGCAAAGCUACACAAGAGGAAGACAGCUGCCAUGUGGUAACACAGUCCUGUGAAGAGUCCCAUGUGGUGAGAGAGGUGGUUGGGAGUGAGCUUGGAAGUGGAUCCCCAACCCUCGUCCCCAAACUGAGACUUCAGAUGAGACUGCAGCUCUGGCCAACAGCUUCACGGCAACCUCACAACAGACCUUGAGCCACAAGUACCCGGCUAAGCUGUGUCCACAUUCCUGACCCACAGAAACUGUGAUAUAACAAAUGUUUGCCAUUUUAAACCGCUAAGUUUUGGUGUAAUUUGUAAGAAGCAACAGAUAAUGAAUACACUACUCCUCCCCUCAACCACUUCCCUCUGUCUACACUGACUUCCUUGCUGUUUCUGGAACAUACCAGCUUUGCUCCUACUUCAGGACCUUGGCACUGGCCAUUCCGUCUUUAGAAAGCUCUUUUCUCAGACAGCUUUGUGCCUCUAGCACACCCUAUCCCUCCUUCCUGACUUAUACGUGCCACCUUCUAUACAAGUGAUUUUCUUUCUUGUCUGACUUUCCCACUGUCGGCUCCAUGGGGCCAGGGAUUUUUGCCUGUUUGGUUCACAGCUUUUCCUUCAGUGCCUAGAAGUGGGCUUGGUACGUGGGUUGGUAUCGAGUAAACAUGUGUGGUGAAGUGAGGGAGAAAGAUACGUCUAGAGCUAGAUAUGUUGGGUUUUAGGUACCUGUGGGAUUUUCAAGUAUUGUCACAUGUGAAGACAGGAUCAGAGAGCAGGGGGCAAAAUAGAGGGAAGUGUGAUACCGAAACACAAGGAGAGGGACUCCACAGUAGUGAAUGCUACAGAGAGGCAGGGAGGUCAUUUAAUAUAAGAAACAGAAAGUGACUGUGACAUUAAAUAACAUCAGUUUCAAGACUGUGUUGGAAGCAAAGGCUAGAUUAGUGAGCAAGGGAAGGAGAUGGAGGUGAAGAAGAGCCAGUAGUAAGACUUCCAAGGAAUGAGGCUGUGAAGAGUGGAGAAGAGAGCAAUGGGUGGAGGGCUUAUGCUGGGAGGGAACUUUCUAAAGACAGAAGAGAGACAGCCUGUGAAUUCUGAGAGUCAGGACUGAGGGGAGUUGUGGCCUUGGUGCAGCAGGACAGAAUGUGACAGAAAACCUUUUGCUAUAGAUGCUGGACUUUGGACCAGCAGCAUCAACAUCACCUGGGAGAUUGUUAGCACUAUGGGAUCUCAGCCUGUUCCAGACCUACUGAAGCAGAAUUCGACAUUAAGGUUGCAGAUGAUCUGUGAGGACAUUAAAUUUGAGAAACUCUGGUUAAGAGCACAGCGAAGAGGAGUAAGGAGCAGGAAGAGCAACUUGUUUGUGGAAAUGGCAGGGUCAGCUCAUGAUGGAUUCAGGUGGAUUUAACAUUUGGAAAUCCCAGCAGGAAGUAAAGGGAAUUCCUACCUUGUGGCCUCUCUUUACUCCAAAGAGAGCCCAGGAAUCCAGAUAGUCAGCUGACAAUGAUGAUCCCCAUCGUAAUAGCUACUGUGUGUUGAGUGGUGUGCUUCGUGUCAGGUGGUGUUCUGGAGGCCUUAUAGAAAUUAUCUCAUUUAAUACUCUAGCAACCUUACAAGCUGAGAAUCAUUAUCCUCAUUUUGCAGAAAAAACCAAAUCACUAGGUUUAUCCAACUAAGAAGCAGAGAGUCAAGCCAGGAUUCAUUUUUCACCAAAGUCCAUGCCCCCUUUGUUAGGCCCCAUUGCUGCUGCUACACCCUAGUGGUAGGGGAGGUGGGAGAGAGAGCACGAGGAUUGAAGAGAGGGAUGCAAUCUUGAAAUAGAAUGCAGAAGGGGAUGGGAGUGGGAGCUUGUUCGGGACUUUUGUAUUAAUCAGGGUUCUCUAGAGGGACGGAACUAAUAGGAUAUAUAUAUAUUAAGGGGAGUUUAUUAAGUAUUAACUUACAUGAUUACAAGGUCCCACAAUAGGCCAUCUACAGGCUGGGAAGCAAGGAGAGUCAGUUGAGUCCCAAAACUGAGGAACCUAGAGUCCCAUGUUCGAGGACAGGCAGCAUCCAGCAUGGGUGAAAGAUGUGGGCUGGGAGGCUCGUCUCGUCCUUUCACAUUUUUCUGCCUGCUUUAUA